RNAcentral lists this ribosomal RNA (253 nucleotides) under uncultured bacterium. RNAcentral describes it as "partial 16S ribosomal RNA". It matches the Rfam family "Bacterial small subunit ribosomal RNA", at positions 524 to 776 of the family's 1533-position model. The record is from RNAcentral.
UACGGGGGGGGCAAGCGUUGUUCGGAAUUACUGGGCGUAAAGGGCGCGUAGGCGGCUUUGCAAGUGACGGGUGAAAUCCCUCGGCUUAACCGAGGAACUGCCUGUCAAACUGCAUGGCUUGAGACCGGGAGAGGUGAGUGGAAUUCCCAGUGUAGCGGUGAAAUGCGUAGAUAUUGGGAGGAACACCAGUGGCGAAGGCGGCUCACUGGACCGGUACUGACGCUGAUGCGCGAAAGCGUGGGGAGCAAACAGG